This 30-nucleotide non-coding RNA is filed under the name Rattus norvegicus (Norway rat). The record is from RNAcentral. Lineage: Eukaryota; Metazoa; Chordata; Mammalia; Rodentia; Muridae.
UACGAGACAGAUUUUAUACUUUAUUUCAAC